GGCUGGAUGGAGGCACAGAGAAGGUUUCCGGGGGGCAGAGUGGGGUUGAGGCAGAGUGAGGUUGAGGCAGGGUGGAGUUGAGGCAGGGUUGAGGCAGAGAUUUGUGUGGGCUGUUUGAUACCCGAGGCUGGGGGUGGACUGGAGGGAGAUUGGAGGCUGGGUGGAGUCAUGAUGAGGGAACUUGGGCUGGACUAGAAGCAAGUGAGGGAGUCCAAGGCUUGGGGUCAGGUUGAACUUGAGGCAAGUUGAGGGGUUCAGGACUGGAGGCCGGGGGAAGGUGUCCGGAGCUGGGGUGGACUGGAGGCAGGGGGAAGGUGUCCGGAGCUGGGGUGGACUGGAGGCAGGGGGAAGGUGUCCGGAGCUGGGGUGGACUGGAGGCAGGGGGAAGGUGUCCGGAGCUGGGGUGGACUGGAGGCAGGGGGAAGGUGUCCGGAGCUGGGGUGGACUGGAGGCCGGGGGAAGGUGUCCGGAGCUGGGGUGGACUGGAGGCAGGGGGAAGGUGUCCGGAGCUGGGGUGGACUGGAGGCAGGGGGAAGGUGUCCGGAGCUGGGGUGGACUGGAGGCAGGGGGAAGGUGUCCGGAGCUGGGGUGGACUGGAGGCAGGGGGAAGGUCAAGAGAUCUGGUGCCUGGGCUGGGGGGGUCAAGGCGCUCACAAGCCCUGCUUGGCCAGGGCGGCGGUGACGUCUUCAGCUAGAGUGGCUAGCUGUGGAGACUCCAGCAAGUUGAUGCUGCCAGAGGAGGACAGGUGGCUGUCGCGGUGGGGGGACACAGUCCCUGACAUGCCCAUUUCCGGAGACUGGGUCACAAUGAUCUCCGCCCCGUGGUCCACCCGGGCCUUGGCCAUAUCACGGAACAACAGCUUGUGGCUUUCGA
This is a long non-coding RNA of Oncorhynchus keta (chum salmon), 874 nucleotides long. RefSeq lists it as uncharacterized. The record is from RefSeq and is a predicted model, not a curated record. NCBI's taxonomy places the organism in Eukaryota, Metazoa, Chordata, Actinopteri, Salmoniformes, Salmonidae. The transcript has 3 exons.